GCAGCGCUGGCCGGCAGGUUCCGGCGGCUGGUGCACUACAGCUGCCUGGGCGUGCUCGGCGAGGCCGACGAACGACGGUUCCAAUCCCUGUGUGACG
RNAcentral lists this transfer RNA (97 nucleotides) under Mycobacterium marseillense. Its description in RNAcentral is "tRNA-Cys". The record is from RNAcentral. Lineage: Bacteria; Bacillati; Actinomycetota; Actinomycetes; Mycobacteriales; Mycobacteriaceae.